ACUGUUUACCAAAAACACAGGAGCGUGCGAAGGCGCAAGCCGCUGUAUACGCUCUGACGCCUGCCCGGUGCCGGAAGGUUAAGAGGAUCCGUCAGGCUUCGGCCGAAGCGGUGAAUUCAAGCCCCGGUAAACGGCGGUGGUAACUAUAACCAUCCUAAGGUAGCGAAAUUCCUUGUCGGGUAAGUUCCGACCUGCACGAAUGGCGUAACGACUUCCCCACUGUCUCGACCAGGAGCUCGGCGAAAUUGCAGUACGAGUAAAGAUGCUCGUUAAGCGCAGAAGGACGAAAAGACCCCGGGACCUUUACUAUACCUUGGUAUUGGCAUUCGGUGUGGAUUGUGUAGCAUAGGCGGAAGGCUUCGAAGCCACGGCGCCAGCCGCGGUGGAGCCGCAAGGUGAAAUACCGCUCUGUUCGCAUUGGAUGUCUAACCUCGACCAGUCAUCCUGGUCAGGGACAGUGCCUGGCGGGUAGUUUAACUGGGGCGGUUGCCUCCCAAAGAGUAACGGAGGCGCUCAAAGGUUCCCUCAGCCCGGUUGGCAAUCGGGUGGCGAGUGUAAGUGCACAAGGGAGCUUGACUGCGAGACUGACGGGUCGAGCAGGGACGAAAGUCGGAACUAGUGAUCCGGUGCCGGUGUACGGACGCGGCAUCGCUCAACGGAUAAAAGGUACCCCGGGGAUAACAGGCUGAUCAUUCCCAAGAGUCCAUAUCGACGGGAUGGUUUGGCACCUCGAUGUCGGCUCGUCGCAUCCUGGGGCUGGAGCAGGUCCCAAGGGUUCGGCUGUUCGCCGAUUAAAGCGGCACGCGAGCUGGGUUCAGAACGUCGUGAGACAGUUUGGUCUCUAUCCUCUGCGCUCGUCGGAAUGUUGAGGAGGCCUGCCCAUAGUACGAGAGGACCUGGGUGGACGAACCUCUGGUAUGCCGGUUGUCACGCCAGUGGCACGGCCGGUUGGCUACGUUCGGAAGGGAUAACCGCUGAAAGCAUCUAAGCGGGAAGCCUGCUCCAAGAUAAGCAUUCCAUAGGACUACGGGUCCUUGAAGUCCCCAUGCAGAACACGUGGUUGAUAGGCCGGACGUGGAAGCCCCGCGAGGGGUGGAGCCGACCGGUACUAACGGACGAAAGGCAACACAAC
Molecule: ribosomal RNA, 1132 nt
Filed under: human gut metagenome
Description: bacterial LSU rRNA
Rfam family: Bacterial large subunit ribosomal RNA
Source: RNAcentral